GCUCGCGUAGCUCAACUGGCAGAGCAGGGGACUCUUAAUCCCAAGGUUCAGGGUUCGACUCCCUGCGCGAGCACCA
Molecule: transfer RNA, 76 nt
Filed under: Actinobacteria bacterium 13_2_20CM_2_66_6
Lineage: Bacteria; Bacillati; Actinomycetota
Also listed under: 13 other names
Description: tRNA-Lys
Rfam family: tRNA
About the family: Transfer RNA (tRNA) molecules are approximately 80 nucleotides in length.
Source: RNAcentral